AACGCACAUUGCGCUCUCCGGUACUCCGGUGAGCAUGCCCGUUUCAGAAUCAGUAACAAUUCUCGCCAAACUCGUGCGGUUCCGGGGGGGACGACGAGCGAGGCGGACUUUGGAUGCGCUGUUUCUCCUGGUGCAAAAGGUCGUUCGACCUUCACCGGAAGAGACUCGUCCGAAACGCAUGGGAAAUGCGGAGGCCCCGUCUCCUCUCUCUGGAGACGGACCUUGCAAAGAAGCAACAAAAACCUUCCUUGGGUUUGGAAACUACUCUUUGCUCGGUUGGAGGCGCCUCUGGUUGUUUUUCCGUCAUGCCCAUCUGGGCAAUCGAAGCAUCGCUCCGUGGAGUGGUCCUUCAAGAACUUGGUCUGAAAUCGGGCAAGAAAACCCGCUGAACUUAA
RNAcentral lists this unclassified non-coding RNA (395 nucleotides) under uncultured fungus. RNAcentral describes it as "partial contains 5.8S ribosomal RNA, internal transcribed spacer 2, and large subunit ribosomal RNA". The record is from RNAcentral. Lineage: Eukaryota; Fungi.